Molecule: unclassified non-coding RNA, 5844 nt
Filed under: Neodiprion lecontei (redheaded pine sawfly)
Lineage: Eukaryota; Metazoa; Arthropoda; Insecta; Hymenoptera; Diprionidae
Description: nFX1-type zinc finger-containing protein 1, transcript variant X4
Source: RNAcentral
GAGUUCCCCGACUGAAAAUAAAAUUUAUCACACCGUCAUAACGUGUCACUACGGCGUAAGAAUAGCCAGUUACGCAAGACGUCAGCUUUGCAUUUAUUACUUGCGGCCACGCAUCAACCGAAGCAUUAAAAAAUGCCAAAAUUCAAGACCAAACAUUUUCAUCACUUUUCCGAACCAUGGAAAACCCGACGUCAAACGUAUAACGACCAUGCGAGAAAUAGGGCAUUAAAAUAUACAAUCGGUCAAGCUUCGCGAGGUUUGUCAGCGACUGGAAAUCGAUAUAGUCCGUACUCGCAUGAAACGAAGGAAGCUAAUAAUGGUCACGGAUUACAAAAUGAAAAUACCACACAUUGGCAGUAUUUUACCUUCACCCGCUUACAAACUUUGAGCGUAAUGAAUAACAACGAUGAUCUUAUAGCUGAAUUACAUGUGAAGAAAGAUGAGUUUGAUCAAUUAUUAAAUGGUGAUUUUAGACCAGACCAUUUUGUACUCGUAGUACAAAUCUUGGCCAAGAUUUCUCGAGCUAACUUUACGAAAAUUUUAUCAAGCAUACUUUGCUGUUCUUGUUCCCCUACAUUUAUUAAAAACUUGGAAAGUUAUUUGACUAAAUUGCCAUUUGAGACUAAAGAAGAUAAGUUACAAAAUAAAUUUUACUGGAAUGAUAUAAAUCUUUUUUGGAGUAAUCUGGUUGAAUUUUUCCAAAAAUUUACUGAACUUUUUCCUCGCAAAGCUCGUGAUGAGUUAACCUCAGUGCUGGAUAAAACGAAUUUGAUCAUAGCAACCACUGAAAUGAAUCAAGACUGUAGAAUUGCUGCCAGUAUAAAAGAAAGAACUUCGAAAAUUUGUCGCAAAUUGAAGGUAAAAAUCCCUAAACUUGAGACCAAAGAGAAGGUUUUUGCAACGUCAUCUGUGCAAGAGUUGCAAGAUCCUCUGGAAGAUUUUAGAACGUUGAGCAUCAUACCAACUAUUCAGGAUGUGUUUAAUGAGAAGCCUUUUAUUAGGCCGAAUAAACUCGUAGGAGCUUACGAUUCGGUUGAGCAUUACCUGGAUGUGCAAUUUCGUUUGUUGCGUGAAGAUUUCAUGGCACCCUUGCGAAAUGGCAUACAUGAAUAUUUGAAUGGAUCCAAAAAAUAUAGUAAAACUGAUGUGAGGGUUUACAGAAAAGUAACAAUGAUGAAUCCUGAAGUAGCAGGCAACAACAUCGGUGUUAUGGUAUCAUUUGGAAUAUUAAAAUUCAUAAACUGGGACACUAGUAAAAGAUUUCAGUUUGGUGGUUUAGUAUGCUUAAGCAGCGAUAAUUUCAGCUCAAUUAUAUUUGCAACUAUUGCUAAUCGAGAUAAAGAGUUGUUACAGAGGGGAACUGUGUUGAUUAAACCGUGCAAAAAAACCGCCAUCACUCACGACCAUUAUCAUUCUAAUUGGGUUAUGCUGGAGUCUAAAAUAUAUUUUGAACCAUAUCUGGCAGUGCUAAAUGCAAUGUGCCAAAUGAAUGAAAAAAAUUUUCCAAUGAGGAAGUAUUUGGUCGAUGCAGAUACAACUAUUUCGCUACCUCAUUAUUUCAAAACUGAUGCAGUACUAAAGUAUAAGGGCUUCUCACUGCAAGUGGGAGAUUACGCCACUUGGCCAACUACCAAACAACUGCGGUUAGAUGAAACGCAGUACGAAGCAUUCAAAUCUGGUCUUUCUCAAGAAAUUGCAAUUAUACAAGGACCGCCAGGAACAGGCAAGACGUUUAUUGCUCUAGAAAUAAUUCGAACUUUGCUAGAGAACAAGGAACAAUGGAGAUGUAAUGGGCCAAUCGUCAUUGUCUGCUUGACAAAUCAUGCCCUUGAUCAAUUCCUUGAAGGUGUUACGAAACAUACAACUUCGAUAGUUCGUGUCGGCAGUCGAUCAAAAAAUGAAGCUCUGUCACAGUAUACACUUGGAAAUAAACGAGAAGCACGACCACGCAGAAAUUGGUGUCAUGACAAGUGGCACCAAGUGAAGAUAAUCUUAUUUAACAUGAAGAGAACCCGUAAAGUAUUACAGGACUUGUCUAAAAGAGAUGCCAUUGUAUCUCCACACCUUCUAUAUGCCUAUUGCCAUGACGAAACGUUGCAAGACAUGGAGAAUGUUAACGAAUUGUUCCAAUGGUUAUUGACACAUACUGACAAUUCAAUGAAAAUAUGUCAGACGCAGAGUACAAAUACUGACACAGAAAUGGAAAUUGACGGUAAUAGCGAAUUUGAAGAGCCCAUUUUUCCUUUGGAAAUCGUUGAUAAAGAAAUUGCUGAGAUUGACGCAAACAUGAACGAGUACAGACGAACUACACACACACAAAACAGACCAGUAUUUCCACGACAUGAAGUUGUUCAAUUAAAACAUCGUGCUGACACCUUGAAGUUACAACGGUCCGACCUACAGCGGAACCUGACUCAGCAUCCUCUAUUGAUUCGAGAUAACGAAAACUUUCUGCCGAGUUUACCUUGGCAAAAGUACUGGGAAUGGGUAGAACUGAGUUAUGAAAAUGCCAAACAGAAAUUAACUGAUUUGGAAGAAGAGUAUCAUUCAGCAAAUGAAGAGUUGAAUGAAGUUAAGCAAAUACUUGAUUUGUCGAUACUUCGAGAGCACGAUGUUAUUGGGUUUACUACGACAUGUGCAGCGAGAUUAUAUGCUUCUCUGCGUGCUCUGCGUCCGCCGAUAGUACUGGUGGAGGAGGCAGCUGAAAUUCUGGAAUCACAUGUCGUUUGCUCUUUGACCCAAAAUUGCCAGCAUCUUAUCCUCAUUGGGGAUCAUAAACAACUGCGACCAAAGGUGGCUGUUCACAAGUUGGGUUCAAAAUACAAUUUCAAUAUAUCUCUUUUUGAAAGAAUGGUCAACAACAGAGGAAGUUGCACACAGUUAGGGCAUCAGCAUCGUAUGCGACCGGAAAUUGCCAGACUAAUCUGUCCUUCCGUGUAUGAGAUUCUCCACAACCAUGAAUGCGUUUUGGAAUAUCCCCCUGUAAUGGGUUUAGAGAAAAAUGUUUUUUUCAUAACGCAUGAUAACCCAGAGGCACCACACGACAACCAAGAGAGUUGGAUAAAUCCACACGAAGCCAAAUUUCUAGUAGCAUUUGCUAGACAUCUGAUAUUGCAAGGCUAUAAAAGUACAGGAAUCACUAUACUCUGUACCUAUGCGGGACAACUUUUCACACUUAUCAAGGAGAGAAAUUGUCAUGAGAUUCUUAAAGCAGUGCGCAUAACCACAAUUGACAAUUUUCAAGGAGAGGAGAACAGAAUUAUUCUUCUUUCAUUAGUUCGCAACAACAGCAAAGGAAAUAUUGGAUUUCUGAAAGAAGAGAACAGAGUUUGUGUUGCACUAUCUCGUGCCCGUGAAGGCCUUUAUAUCAUGGGGAACAUGGACAAUCUUACGAAUAAAAAUAAUAUUUGGCCAAAAAUUAAACAAGUUUUAGAAAAUGACAAUGCAAUAGGUGAUACACUCGAAUUACGAUGCAAGUAUCAUUCUGAUACAUUAAUAAAGAUACGAAACGGAAGCGAUUUUGUGGAACAAUGCCCGGAAGGGGGAUGCUUACAAAAAUGUAAUACUGAUUUACCGUGUGGACAUUCUUGUACCAGCAUUUGUCAUACCCUUGACAGAGAGCAUUUCAAUUUCAUGUGCAAACAGCGUUGCGUUAAAAAGUGUCCGGAUGAUCAUCCUUGUCCACUUUUAUGUUACCAAGGAUGCAAGCCGUGUCUAGUUGCUGUUGAACGCCAAUUGAAAUGCGGUCAUGCUGUUUUUAUCUCGUGUGGGACAGACCCUGAUACAUACCAAUGUCCUGUCAAAGUCGAUGUUACCCUACCUCAUUGCAAUCAUACUACUGAAAAAAGCUGUUAUAUGCCUCUGGAUAAGGUCCCAUGCCCAUAUCCCUGUAAAAUUCGUUUAGCAUGUGGACAUUCUUGUGAACAAAAAUGUCAUGCUAACGAUGAUCCUGAUCAUCUGGAGCACUUUUGUCAUAAGCCCUGUUCAAAAAGGAACAGCCACUGUACUGCCGAUCAUCCGUGCAAAUUGAAGUGUUAUGAGAAAUGUAUAGCAUGUCCUAUUAAUGUAUCAAAAAUACGAUCUUGCGGACAUGAACUUAAUUGCAAAUGCUCGGAUGAUGUAGAAAAACUCGUAUGCUAUAAACGAAUAAAAUUUGAGAGAAUCUGUGGACACAAAGCUACAGUAAGAUGCUUCCGGAAGGAUGACGAAGAAUGUAAUGAAGAGGUACUGAAACUAAGUGCAUGUGGUCACCAAAUAAAAGUGAAAUGUUGCCAAACACCAAAUUCUUCUCUGUGUGGCAAUAAAUGUAAACUUAAUUUAAAAUGUGGCCAUCCCUGCACUACUCUAUGUAAAGACCCAUGUACAAACGAAUGCAAGGCCCCUGUCCUUCAAACGAAACAUGGGCUUUGUGGACAUCUCAUUCCCGUGCCUUGCUUCUUAAAAGAAACUGAAGCCAAGUCUCCAGCACUACUACAGUAUUGCAAGGAACCAUGCAAACAUGAAUUAUCUUGUGGCCACUUUUGCCAAGGCAAUUGUUGGUCCUGCAAACAGGGACGUAUACACAAACCUUGCCAAGAAAAAUGUGGCAAGACUCUCAUUUGUGGACAUAGGUGCGAUGUGCCUUGCAGUCUCGAAUGUCCACCGUGUCAAAAACCUUGCGAAAUGAAAUGCAAACACAGUAGAUGUGACAGAAAGUGUGGAGAAACCUGUAUACCAUGUAGAGAAACCUGUGCAGCGCGAUGUAAACAUACAAUUUGUCUCAAACGAUGCUUUGAAUUGUGCAACAGAAGACCAUGUGAGAAACAAUGUUCUGAACGCUUGAAGUGUAAGCAUCGUUGCAUUGGCUUCUGCGGCGAACCAUGCCCACCAUUAUGCAAAAUCUGCAACAAAAAAGAACUAAUCGAUGAAUUUUUUCUCGGGUAUGAAGAUGAACCAAAUGCCAGAUUUGUGUUUCUUGAAGAUUGUGGGCACUGCAUAGAGAAUAAGGGGCUUCUAAAUUGGAUGUCAGCAAACACUCAAACAGUUCAAGUGAAGACAUGCCCGCGAUGCAGCACUCCUAUAAAUAAAUGCACUCGAAUAUUAAACGAAAUUAAAACGCAUCUGAAAGAUGUUCAGCUUGUAAAGGCAAAAAUAUUUGGGGAUCACACCAACUUACAAAAUCAACAAUUCUUACUUGUCACCAGAAUUAAACACAUGUACGAGAACCCAGUGAUAAAAGACAGAAAUCACGCACUCCAUUUUUCCUGUCAAUUCGGGAUUCCAGCGGCGGGGCGCUUCAUUGGCCUGCUAAUAAUUUCGCCAUUUUGCAAAAAUUGAUAAGUAAAUUUUUCUUGUACUGUCCAAAUGUGAGUCGAAAUACACUUGAAAUUUUAAAAAGCUUCGUUAGUCAUCUCCCAUAGAGAAAAAUAACCGAACAUCAACAUUUCGCUUAAAAAUUAUCGUAUUUGAUUGAUUUACAAAAUAAAAAUAUUUGUAUUUUUCCUGAUCUUUCAUAUGGCAGUAUUUGAAAAACCCGGUUUCCACUUUGAACCGACAUGAGAAAUAUUUUUUCUCCAUUAUCUGAUUUAAUUAUUGACCUUUUUUCGGUGUUACUUAAAUAUUUAGCUGUAUAAUUAUUGAUUGCUUUCAGUUUUUAACCAUUUGUAUACGAUAAUAGUACGAAGCAAAUAAUUAUAAUCAACUAUUUUCAUGUGAACCAAUAACAAAAAACUAUGUUACUAUUUGUGCACGGUAUAACCCGAGGUGGUCAGCGGUGGUCGUUGGAGGUGGUUGGCGGUGGUUGGUGGUGGACGAGAAGGAGGACGAGGUAGAUGAGGAUUUGUGCUCGAGUUUGCUGAAAUCAUG